Molecule: ribosomal RNA, 713 nt
Filed under: bacterium xpnta561lb519on10.8
Lineage: Bacteria
Description: bacterial SSU rRNA
Rfam family: Bacterial small subunit ribosomal RNA
Source: RNAcentral
ACACAUGCAGUCGAACGGUGAAGCAGAGCUUGCUCUGUGGAUCAGUGGCGAACGGGUGAGUAACACGUGAGCAACCUGCCCCUGACUCUGGGAUAAGCGCUGGAAACGGCGUCUAAUACCGGAUAUGAGCUGCGAUCGCAUGGUCAGCAGUUGGAAAGAUUUUUCGGUCUGGGAUGGGCUCACGGCCUAUCAGCUUGUUGGUGAGGUAAUGGCUCACCAAGGCGUCGACGGGUAGCCGGCCUGAGAGGGUGACCGGCCACACUGGGACUGAGACACGGCCCAGACUCCUACGGGAGGCAGCAGUGGGGAAUAUUGCACAAUGGGCGAAAGCCUGAUGCAGCAACGCCGCGUGAGGGAUGACGGCCUUCGGGUUGUAAACCUCUUUUAGCAGGGAAGAAGCGAAAGUGACGGUACCUGCAGAAAAAGCGCCGGCUAACUACGUGCCAGCAGCCGCGGUAAUACGUAGGGCGCAAGCGUUAUCCGGAAUUAUUGGGCGUAAAGAGCUCGUAGGCGGUUUGUCGCGUCUGCUGUGAAAUCCCGAGGCUCAACCUCGGGUCUGCAGUGGGUACGGGCAGACUAGAGUGCGGUAGGGGAGAUUGGAAUUCCUGGUGUAGCGGUGGAAUGCGCAGAUAUCAGGAGGAACACCGAUGGCGAAGGCAGAUCUCUGGGCCGUUACUGACGCUGAGGAGCGAAAGGGUGGGGAGCAAACAGGC